RNAcentral lists this ribosomal RNA (332 nucleotides) under uncultured Planctomycetota bacterium. RNAcentral's name for it is "bacterial SSU rRNA". It matches the Rfam family "Bacterial small subunit ribosomal RNA", at positions 568 to 898 of the family's 1533-position model. The record is from RNAcentral. Lineage: Bacteria; Pseudomonadati; Planctomycetota.
UGCGUAGGCGGUGCUACAAGUCGGGUGUGAAAUCCCUCAGCUUAACUGAGGAACUGCGCCCGAAACUGUAGUGCUGGAGUGAGGCAGGGGUGAGCGGAACUGAUGGUGGAGCGGUGAAAUGUGUUGAUAUCAUCAGGAACACCGGUGGCGAAGGCGGCUCACUGGGCCUUUACUGACGCUGAGGCACGAAAGCUAGGGGAGCAAACGGGAUUAGAUACCCCGGUAGUCCUAGCUGUAAACGAUGAGCACUUGAUCGGAGACUCCUCCAUAGGUUUCCGGUCGUAGCGAAAGUGUUAAGUGCUCCGCCUGGGGAGUAUGGUCGCAAGGCUGAA